GUAGGUGGCAAGCGUUGUCCGGAAUUAUUGGGCGUAAAGCGCGCGCAGGCGGUCCUUUAAGUCUGAUGUGAAAGCCCACGGCUCAACCGUGGAGGGUCAUUGGAAACUGGGGGACUUGAGUACAGAAGAGGAAAGCGGAAUUCCAAGUGUAGCGGUGAAAUGCGUAGAGAUUUGGAGGAACACCAGUGGCGAAGGCGGCUUUCUGGUCUGUAACUGACGCUGAGGCGCGAAAGCGUGGGGAGCAAACGGGAUUAGAUACCCUGGUAGUCCACGCCGUAAACGAUGAGUGCCAAGUGUUAGGGGGUUUCCGCCCCCCUUAGUGCUGCAGCUAACGCAUUAAGCACUCCGCCUGGGGGAGUACGGCCCGCAAGGCUG
Molecule: ribosomal RNA, 375 nt
Filed under: uncultured organism
Description: partial 16S ribosomal RNA
Rfam family: Bacterial small subunit ribosomal RNA
Source: RNAcentral